AUGCAAGUCGAACGAAGUAGCAAUACUUAGUGGCAGACGGGUGAGUAACAUGUAGGUAUCUACCCUUUGGCCUGGAAUAACACGAGGAAACUUGUGCUAAUACCGGAUAAGUCUUUACAGAGAAAGCUUUAUGCACCAUUGGAUGAGCCUGCACUUGAUUAGUUUGUUGGUAGGGUAAUGGCCUACCAAGACUGUGAUCAAUAGCUGAUUUGAGAGGAUGAUCAGCCACAUUGGGACUGAGACACGGCCCAAACUCCUACGGGAGGCAGCAGUGGGGAAUCUUGCACAAUGGAGGAAACUCUGAUGCAGCGAUGCCGCGUGAGUGAAGAAGGCCUUUGGGUUGUAAAGCUCUUUCGUCGGGGAAGAAAAUGACUGUACCCGAAUAAGAAGGUCCGGCUAACUUCGUGCCAGCAGCCGCGGUAAUACGAAGGGACCUAGCGUAGUUCGGAAUUACUGGGCUUAAAGAGUUCGUAGGUGGUUGAAAAAGUUAGUGGUGAAAUCCCAGAGCUUAACUCUGGAACUGCCAUUAAAACUUUUCAGCUAGAGUAUGAUAGAGGAAAGCAGAAUUUCUAGUGUAGAGGUGAAAUUCGUAGAUAUUAGAAAGAAUACCAAUUGCGAAGGCAGCUUUCUGGAUCAUUACUGACGCUGAGGAACGAAAGCAUGGGUAGCGAAGAGGAUUAGAUACCCUCGUAGUCCAUGCCGUAAACGAUGUGUGUUAGACGUUGGAAAUUUAUUUUCAGUGUCGCAGCGAAAGCGAUAAACACACCGCCUGGGGAGUACGACCGCAAGGUUAAAACUCAAAUGAAUUGACGGGGACCCGCACAAGUAGUGGAGCAUGUGGUUUAAUUCGAAGAUACGCGCAGAACCUUACCAACACUUGACAUGUUCGUCGCGACUCUAAGAGAUUAGAGUUUUCGGUUCGGCCGGACGAAACACAGGUGCUGCAUGGCUGUCGUCAGCUCG
This 963-nucleotide ribosomal RNA is filed under the name uncultured marine bacterium. Its description in RNAcentral is "bacterial SSU rRNA". It matches the Rfam family "Bacterial small subunit ribosomal RNA", at positions 55 to 1062 of the family's 1533-position model. The record is from RNAcentral.